AGAGGUCCCUUUUGGCUCAGGACGAACGCUGGCGGCACGCUUAACACAUGCAAGUCGAACGAGAGAAGAGAAGCUUGCUUUUCUGAUCUAGUGGCGGACGGGUGAGUAACACGUGAGCAAUCUGCCUUUCAGAGGGGGAUACCGAUUGGAAACGAUCGUUAAUACCGCAUAACAUAAUUGAACCGCAUGAUUUGAUUAUCAAAGAUUUAUCGCUGAAAGAUGAGCUCGCGUCUGAUUAGCUAGUUGGUAAGGUAACGGCUUACCAAGGCGACGAUCAGUAGCCGGACUGAGAGGUUGAUCGGCCACAUUGGGACUGAGACACGGCCCAGACUCCUACGGGAGGCAGCAGUGGGGAAUAUUGCACAAUGGAGGAAACUCUGAUGCAGCGAUGCCGCGUGAGGGAAGAAGGUUUUAGGAUUGUAAACCUCUGUCUUCAGGGACGAAAAAAGACGGUACCUGAGGAGGAAGCUCCGGCUAACUACGUGCCAGCAGCCGCGGUAAUACGUAGGGAGCGAGCGUUGUCCGGAAUUACUGGGUGUAAAGGGAGCGUAGGCGGGAUCGCAAGUUAGAUGUGAAAACUAUGGGCUUAACCCAUAAACUGCAUUUGAAACUGUGGUUCUUGAGUGAAGUAGAGGUAAGCGGAAUUCCUAGUGUAGCGGUGAAAUGCGUAGAUAUUAGGAGGAACAUCAGUGGCGAAGGCGGCUUACUGGGCUUUAACUGACGCUGAGGCUCGAAAGCGUGGGGAGCAAACAGGAUUAGAUACCCUGGUAGUCCACGCCGUAAACGAUGAUUACUAGGUGUGGGGGGAGUGACCCCCUCCGUGCCGCAGCAAACGCAAUAAGUAAUCCACCUGGGGAGUACGACCGCAAGGUUGAAACUCAAAGGAAUUGACGGGGGCCCGCACAAGCAGUGGAGUAUGUGGAUUAAUUCGAAGCAACGCGAAGAACCUUACCAGGUCUUGACAUCGUAUGCAUAGCUCAGAGAUGAGUGAAAUCUCUUCGGAGACAUAUAGACAGGUGGUGCAUGGUUGUCGUCAGCUCGUGUCGUGAGAUGUUGGGUUAAGUCCCGCAACGAGCGCAACCCUUACUGUUAGUUGCUACGCAAGAGCACUCUAGCAGGACUGCCGUUGACAAAACGGAGGAAGGUGGGGAUGACGUCAAAUCAUCAUGCCCCUUAUGACCUGGGCCUCACACGUACUACAAUGGCUGUCAACAGAGGGAAGCAAAGCCGCGAGGUGGAGCAAACCCCUAAAAGCAGUCUUAGUUCGGAUUGUAGGCUGCAACCCGCCUACAUGAAGUCGGAAUUGCUAGUAAUCGCAGAUCAGCAUGCUGCGGUGAAUAAGUUCCCGGGCCUUGCACA
This 1359-nucleotide ribosomal RNA is filed under the name uncultured bacterium. RNAcentral describes it as "bacterial SSU rRNA". It matches the Rfam family "Bacterial small subunit ribosomal RNA". The record is from RNAcentral.